ACCUACGGGAGGCAACAGUGGGGGAUAUUGCACAAUGGGGGGAACCCUGAUGCAGCGACGCCGCGUGGGUGAAGAAGCGCCUCGGCGCGUAAAGCCCUGUCAGCAGGGAAGAAAAUGACGGUACCUGAAGAAGAAGCCCCGGCUAACUACGUGCCAGCAGCCGCGGUAAUACGUAGGGGGCAAGCGUUAUCCGGAUUUACUGGGUGUAAAGGGGGCGCAGACGGCGAUGCAAGCCAGGAGUGAAAGCCCGGGGCCCAACCCCGGGACUGCUCUUGGAACUGCGUAGCUGGAGUGCAGGAGGGGCA
Molecule: ribosomal RNA, 305 nt
Filed under: uncultured bacterium
Lineage: Bacteria
Description: bacterial SSU rRNA
Rfam family: Bacterial small subunit ribosomal RNA
Source: RNAcentral